AAAAUAUUUUAAAAGUGUAUUUAAAGCAUUAUCCUAAUUCAAUAAGACAGCCAACAUAGUUAUUUUUUUUCGCAUUAUGCAGUUUAUGCAAAGUGUUUGGCUUAAUAAUUAUCGUCUGCUUCAUCAAUUUCAUGCUCACCUUCCUUUAAUUUGGGAGCUUUCUAUAGUUCUUGUUCUGCAGUGUCAGACUGCAAUGUUUCCUCGCAAAGGGGCUCUUCCAAAACAGCUGGUUUUAAUUGAUUUGCAUGCACCUGUUGCUUCUGUGCUUUUAUAUGUUGAAUUUCAAAAUUUACUGGACCAAACUGUUUUAUAAUUCUAAAAGUACAAUCAAAUUGUUCCAGGGAAUUUUUGUUUUAUAAUUCUAAAGGAUUCUAUCCACCUGGGACUCUUUAGAAUUAUAAAACAAAAGUUUUUUGAAACAACCUGGUUGCACUUUCUCAUCUAAGAGAUAUACUCGAUCCCCUGUAUUAAAAAUAUAUCCCUUAUGUUAUUUAUCAUGAUAUUCUUUAUGUUUAUGCGUUUCUUCUCGCAAAUAAGCUUUGACAGUCUCAUACACAUCCUGUAAUCUGGCUAAAAGUUCUGAUUUAUAAUUAGUGUCAUAUCGUGGCCUAAGAGGUCGUGUCUGUAUCAAAUAUAUAAUGUGGAUCUCUACCGAAAACGAGGAAAAAGGGAGUUUCAUUAAUAGAAGAAUGGACAACCGCGUUGUAAGCGUAUAAUGCAA
This 721-nucleotide long non-coding RNA is filed under the name Androctonus crassicauda. Lineage: Eukaryota; Metazoa; Arthropoda; Arachnida; Scorpiones; Buthidae. The record is from RNAcentral.